CGGAGCGGGUGCAUGAUCGCUCCGGCAUUUUUAUUGCCGGUGAGGAAAGUCCGAACUCCACAGGGCAGGAUGGUUCGUAACGCGAACGCCGGGUGACCGGCGGAAAGUGCCACAGAAAACAAACCGCCUGUAAAGGUAAGGGUGAAACGGCGAGGUAAGAGCUCACCGCUUUCAUGGUGACAUGAAAGGCAGGGUAAACCCCAUCCGGUGCAAGACCAAAUAGGGAGGCGUUUGAGGGCUGCCCGUCCGAAGUCUCCGGGUAGGUUGCAAGAGGUGUCGGGCAACCGGCAUCCCAGUUAAAUGAUCAUGGCCCUUACGGGUACAGAAUUCGGCUUAUAGCCCGCUCCACUUU
RNAcentral lists this RNase P RNA (352 nucleotides) under Desulfobacterales bacterium. RNAcentral's name for it is "RNase P RNA component class A". It matches the Rfam family "Bacterial RNase P class A". From Rfam's summary of the family: Ribonuclease P (RNase P) is a ubiquitous endoribonuclease, found in archaea, bacteria and eukarya as well as chloroplasts and mitochondria. Its best characterised activity is the generation of mature 5'-ends of tRNAs by cleaving the 5'-leader elements of precursor-tRNAs. Cellular RNase Ps are ribonucleoproteins. Lineage: Bacteria; Pseudomonadati; Thermodesulfobacteriota; Desulfobacteria; Desulfobacterales. The record is from RNAcentral.